This 434-nucleotide ribosomal RNA is filed under the name uncultured bacterium. RNAcentral describes it as "partial 16S ribosomal RNA". It matches the Rfam family "Bacterial small subunit ribosomal RNA", at positions 29 to 507 of the family's 1533-position model. The record is from RNAcentral.
AGCGAACGCUGGCGGCAGGCCUAACACAUGCAAGUCGAACGAACCUUUCGGGGUUAGUGGCGGACGGGUGAGUAACACGUGGGAACGUGCCUUUAGGUUCGGAAUACCUCAGGGAGACUUGUGCUAAUACAGAAUGGGCCCUUCGGGGGAAAGAUUAAUGGCCUUUAGAGGGGCCCGGGUAUGGUUAGCUAGUUGGUUGAGGUAAUGGCUCACCACGGCGACGAUCAGUAGCUGGUCUGAGAGGAUGAUCAGACACAUUGGGACUGAGACACGGCCCAAACCCCUACGGGGGGCAGCAGUGGGGAAUCUUGCGCAAGGGGCGAAAGCCUGACGCAGCCAUGCCGCGUGAAUGAUGAAGGUCGUAGGAUUGUAAAAUUCUUUCACCGGGGACGAUAAUGACGGUACCCGGAGAAGAAGCCCCGGCUAACUUCGUG